RNAcentral lists this ribosomal RNA (450 nucleotides) under uncultured Thiobacillus sp. Its description in RNAcentral is "bacterial SSU rRNA". It matches the Rfam family "Bacterial small subunit ribosomal RNA", at positions 925 to 1382 of the family's 1533-position model. Lineage: Bacteria; Pseudomonadati; Pseudomonadota; Betaproteobacteria; Nitrosomonadales; Thiobacillaceae. The record is from RNAcentral.
ACAAGCGGUGGAUGAUGUGGAUUAAUCGAUGCAACGCGAAGAACCUUACUACCCUUGACAUGUCCGGAACUUGCCAGAGAUGGCUUGGUGCCCGAAAGGGAAUCGGAACACAGGUGCUGCAUGGCUGUCGUCAGCUCGUGUCGUGAGAUGUUGGGUUAAGUCCCGCAACGAGCGCAACCCUUAUCAUUAGUUGCUACGCAAGGGCACUCUAAUGAGACUGCCGGUGACAAACCGGAGGAAGUGGGGAUGACGUCAAGUCCUCAUGGCCCUUAUGGGUAGGGCUUCACACGUCAUACAAUGGUCGGUACAGAGGGUUGCCAAGCCGCGAGGCGGAGCCAAUCCCACAAAGCCGAUCGUAGUCCGGAUUGUUCUCUGCAACUCGAGAGCAUGAAGUCGGAAUCGCUAGUAAUCGCAGGUCAGCAUACUGCGGUGAAUACGUUCCCGGGUCUU